CCUACGGGAGGCAGCAGUGAGGAAUAUUGGUCAAUGGACGAGAGUCUGAACCAGCCAAGUAGCGUGAAGGAUGACUGCCCUAUGGGUUGUAAACUUCUUUUAUCUGGGAAUAACAUGUUCCACGUGUGGGAUUUUGUAUGUACCAAAUGAAUAAGGACCGGCUAACUCCGUGCCAGGAGCCGCGGUAAUACGGAGGAUCCGAGUGUUAUCCGGAUUUUUUGGGUUUAAAGGGAGCGUAGGUGGAUUGUUAAGUCAGUUGGGAAAGUUUGCGGGUCAACCGUAAAAUUGCAGUUGAAACUGGCAGUCUUGAGUACAGGAGAGGUGGGCGGAAUUCGUGGUGUAGCGGUGAAAUGCUUAGAUAUCACGAAGAACUCCGAUUGCGAAGGCAGCUCACUGGACUGCAACUGACACUGAGGCUCGAAAGUGUGGGUAUCAAACAGGAUUAGAUACCCGAGUAGUC
RNAcentral lists this ribosomal RNA (460 nucleotides) under uncultured bacterium. RNAcentral's name for it is "partial 16S ribosomal RNA". It matches the Rfam family "Bacterial small subunit ribosomal RNA", at positions 338 to 795 of the family's 1533-position model. The record is from RNAcentral.